Molecule: long non-coding RNA, 422 nt
Organism: Arabidopsis lyrata subsp. lyrata
Lineage: Eukaryota; Viridiplantae; Streptophyta; Magnoliopsida; Brassicales; Brassicaceae
Exons: 3
Source: RefSeq, a predicted model, not a curated record
UCCAGUAAAUACAUGAGAAUGACCAAAUAUGAACAAACCAUAGUGUUUAGUGAAGCAUCAAGUCAUGGAAAAUAAUUAAAAAGUGACCAUAUCAGUCGUUUGGUGGAAAAAAAAAAAGUGAAAAUAAAUAUCUGAAACCAGUCGGCGAUAUGUUCGACGGCAAGCCUUUACAAUCACCAAACCUCUUCCGUCGAAUUUUCACUCUGCGUUUCUCUCCCGUCGCCGUCGAACAUGUGAGAUGUCUCUCCACUUCCAUCACCGAAGAUGCAUUCGAGCAAUCUUCUUCUCGAGGAACCGAUCAUGAUGGCUUCAAUCCUCAAGCCUUUCAAAUCGAUCGUCGGAACUCUCGGUCCCAAAUACCGAUCCGUCGAGGCUCUAUCCGGCUGUCUCAAAACCGGCAUGUCUGUGGCUCCAGUCGAUUU